Molecule: ribosomal RNA, 492 nt
Filed under: uncultured bacterium
Lineage: Bacteria
Description: partial 16S ribosomal RNA
Rfam family: Bacterial small subunit ribosomal RNA
Source: RNAcentral
AGUGAACGCUGGCGGUAGGCCUAACACAUGCAAGUCGAACGGCAGCACAGUAAGAGCUUGACCUUACGGGUGGCGAGUGGCGGACGGGUGAGGAAUUCAUCUGAACCUACUUUUUCGUGGGGGAUAACGUAGGGAAACUUACGCUAAUACCGCAUACGACCUACGGGUGAAAGCAGGGGAUCUUCGUACCUUGCGCGCUUGAAUCAGCCGAUGUCGGAUUAGCUAGUUGGCGGGGUAAAGGCCCCCCCAGGCGACGAACCGUAGCUGGUCACAGAGGAUGAUCAGCCACACUGGAACGGAGACACGGUCCAGAGUCCUGAGGGACGGAGCAGAGGGGUAUAUUGGACAAUGGGGGGGAGCCUGAUCCAGCCAUACCGCGUGUGAUAAGAAGGCCCUGCGUUUGUGAAGCCCUUCUUUUGGGAAAGAAAAGCAGCAGGUUAAUACGCCGCGGUUCUGACGGUACCCAAAGAAGAAGCACCGGCUAACUUCGUG